UUAGUUUAAUGAUUCAAACUAAGGAAAAAUUUGGGCUUUUGUUUUGCCCUAGUCGCUGAUCGAUCGGGCAAAUGGGAAAACGGUAGAAAUGAACGAAGGCAAAUACGAAGGAGACGUGAAGGCAGUUGAUAGGUCCGACGAUUUCGGAUCAAUUUCAGGCGAAGGGAGCGUCUUCGGGGUCGGCGAGGCCGAAGCAACGAAGGGUCCGAUGGGGUGCGCGAGCAGAAGCAGCGACGAAGUCGAGACCUUCGGAGGUCUUUGGUCGAUGGGAACAGAAGAGAAAGAAAGCGAGGGGAAAGAGGUGAUUCGGUGGCGUUUGCGAAGGGAAGAAGAAGAGAUGGUUGCGAGAUCAAGUUGGAGAUGAAGCGAAUUGGAAGGAGCAGCCUUGCUCAAGAUGGAAUCUGCGAAGGAGUGGGAUUGAAGGUCGAUCCGAGGAAGCAAACAACGAAGGCUGAAGGUGGCGAUGGUGGGAGGUUGUUGUGAAGUCGAUGGAGGGUUUCUCCGGCGGUUGUAGGUGAGUGGAUGGGAGCUGCUCCGGCAGCCUCCCUGUUUUUCCUCGUUUUUUUUUUUUUCGUUUCUGAACAGGGACGUUGAAGAGAUAGAUGCGAGAGGUGUUUUGGAUUCGUUGUGGACCUGACAAGGAAGGGAUGGAGGGUUGUUGCCCUCCUGCUGGUCGGAAAACACCUACAUUUGGUGGUGUUUUUGACAGGAAAAACGAAGGGGAAGAAGAAAAGCAAAGGAAUUUUUGUGGUGUUUUUCUUGGCUGAGAACGAAGAUGCAAGCAGACCAUAAAUAAUCGAUCAAUUUUCAGUAGGUUGUGGGUUGUGUUUGAGUGUUGUUUGGAUGUAGGAAGCGUGCAAGCAAGCUUAAGAAAUGUCAACCUAUUUCCUUUGUGUGGAAAUUUAGAUGUGCAAAACUUAAUAGUUGUCAUUUAUGUAUAAUAUGUGUAUUUUGUGUGAAAUUUGUAAAUAAUGAAUUUUUCCA
Lactuca sativa (garden lettuce) is the source of this 984-nucleotide non-coding RNA. The record is from RefSeq and is a predicted model, not a curated record. Lineage: Eukaryota; Viridiplantae; Streptophyta; Magnoliopsida; Asterales; Asteraceae.